This 497-nucleotide ribosomal RNA is filed under the name uncultured bacterium. RNAcentral's name for it is "partial 16S ribosomal RNA". It matches the Rfam family "Bacterial small subunit ribosomal RNA", at positions 28 to 507 of the family's 1533-position model. The record is from RNAcentral.
GACGAACGCUGGCGGCGUGCCUAAUACAUGCAAGUUGAGCGCUGAAGGUUGGUACUUGUACCAACUGGAUGAGCAGCGAACGGGUGAGUAACGCGUGGGGAAUCUGCCUUUGAGCGGGGGACAACAUUUGGAAACGAAUGCUAAUACCGCAUAAAAACUUUAAACACAAGUUUUAAGUUUGAAAGAUGCAAUUGCAUCACUCAAAGAUGAUCCCGCGUUGUAUUAGCUAGUUGGUGAGGUAAAGGCUCACCAAGGCGAUGAUACAUAGCCGACCUGAGAGGGUGAUCGGACACAUUGGGACUGAGACACUGCCCAAACUCCUACGGGAGGCAGCAGUAGGGAAUCUUCGGCAAUGGACGAAAGUCUGACCGAGCAACGCCGCGUGAGUGAAGAAGGUGUUCGGAUCGUAAAACUCUGUUGGUAGAGAAGAACGUUGGUGAGAGUGGAAAGCUCAUCAAGUGACGGUAACUACCCAGAAAGGGACGGCUAACUACGUG